RNAcentral lists this long non-coding RNA (514 nucleotides) under Bos indicus x Bos taurus (hybrid cattle). RNAcentral's name for it is "lncRNA (ENSBIXG00005007477.1)". Lineage: Eukaryota; Metazoa; Chordata; Mammalia; Artiodactyla; Bovidae. The record is from RNAcentral.
AUGAGUCCACGCGGGGCUGGCGGCCUCCCUGCCCGCCCAUGUCCCGCACCCUCCUCCGUCUCAGCGGAAACACAGGGGCCAGGAAGCCCUUCAGAAGUUGUCAGGGGUGACCCAGGGAGAGGAGUCCCGCGCAGAAAGUGCAAACGCCUUCGUGGCGGGUGGCUGCGCCCUUCCCUGGGGCCCCUGCAGCAGAGCCCACAGUGCCAGAAGAAACGUGGGGACAUGUCAUCGUAGAUUUGACCGCCACACCGCUGGGUCUUGAUUCCACAUCGGGCGCCAUGGUAAGAGCUGCUGAUCCAGCACUCGGAAUGCAGUGGUAGGAGAAGGAGCUUGUUCAGUGCAGCAGGACGGACUGGCGUGUUCACCGAACAAGAGAAGAUAUACUGGCUUCUUGUAGCUGCUAUAACAAAUUAUCAUAGGCGAUAAUUUGAAACAUCAGAAGUUGAUUGUCUCACAGCUCUGAAGGUCAGAAGCUCUCAAUAAAUGAACUGACAGGGCCCCGUGAUCUUGGCCG